Molecule: long non-coding RNA, 1313 nt
Filed under: Phascolarctos cinereus (koala)
Lineage: Eukaryota; Metazoa; Chordata; Mammalia; Diprotodontia; Phascolarctidae
Description: lncRNA (ENSPCIG00000025216.2)
Source: RNAcentral
GUGCCUUCUACUUCAAGAAUUCUAUGAGCUUGCUAUUUGGGAAACCUCCAACAAAUCAGCCAUAUUAAAGCUUUCAAGUAACCAAAACUACAUCCAAUGAAUGAGGAAGCAUCUGCUAAGCAACAAAGGAACCUUGGACCUGACCUGGGACAGACUUGCACCAAGACUUUGGAAGGGGCUUUUGGAUGAGAGAAACAGGGAAGCAAGAAAGCAGGAAAAGGAGGAAGUAGAGGCCAAAUCAAUGAGGAGUUGCCAUCCAGCUUCCAGGAACAGCGGUGAAUCCAUGGGAAGGUGCUGUCCACUCAAGAUCUAAACUCCAGGUUUGAAAAGAAAGCCAUGUCUCUGUGAAUUGAGGGGGAGUCAGCUGCUUGGAAGGGAAAGUCAUUCUGAUAAAGGGAGGGAAGGUGAGUGGUACCACUCUCCCUCAAGGUAUGAGUGAUGAUGGUUAACCCCACUUUGCUCACCAACUCCAUUCUGAGUUUAUAUAAUAAUGCGGAUAUUGAGGUCCAGAGAAAUGAAAUAACAUGCCCAGAGUUGGUAAGUGAUGGAGGUGUGAGAUAAGAAUCCAGAUCUUCUAGCUACAAACCCCUUCUCUUCUCCCUGUACUACAUUGUCUCAUACUUCAUAGUUACUUUGCAUAGAUUUCAUAUCUACUUAAAUGUGCAUGUGUUGUUUCCUUCAAGAAAAUAUAAACUUUUUAAUAAUAAUACCCUUUAUUAAUAAUGAUUAGCAUUUAUAUAGUGCUUUAAGAUUUGCAAAGCACUUUAUCAACAUUAUCUCAUUUGAUCCUCACAAGCCUGUGAAGUACAGGUGCUGUUAUUAUCUCCAUUGUAUAAACAAAGAAACUAAGGCAGACAGAGAAUAAUUGAAUUACCUAGGGUCACACAGCUAACAAAUAUUCAAGGCUAAAUCUGAACUUGUCUGCCUAACUCUAAGCCCACUACACCACCUGUCUACUAUUGAAGCAUCAUAGCCCCAGGGCCUGGAACAGUGCCUGGUACAUAGCAAACACUUAACAAAUACUUUUUGGUCAACUGGUUGGGAAAAUAAUAAGUUUGGAAGACUGUCCUUGGGGACACUAGGCUGAUGACAGACUGUAAGACAGUUAUCUUGACUGUUUAUAGAUUCAGGUAUGUUCCUUUUUCAUUUUUUGAGCUCGGGUUAAGUAAAGUCUGUCCUAUAUUUUAAAGGGAUCAUGAAGGGGCAGGCAUGACUGAAAUGAUGCAACAGCAACAAAUGUGCUUUUAUAUUUACUGUUUGCUUAAUAAGGACUGUGCAAAACAAUGGGAAUACAAAGAAAGGCCCCUCCCUCA